CAACAUUCAAAACAUCUGGUUGCGAAAUAGGACCAGGUUGCUGUUGUGGAUGGUCAUGACUAUGGAUGGAAGAAACAGGUUCUAUAGUAAUGACAUUCGGUUGCGAAAUGAGAACAGUUUGCUGUUGUUGGUCAUGAUCAUUUAAAACAGAAGGUUGCUUCUCGAUUUCAACAGGCCCCGCUGCAUGUUUAACAUCCAUAGCAUCAGGUUGCGAAAUAAGAACAGUUUGCUGUUGUUGAUCAGGAUGAUUUGAAGCAGAAGGUUGCUUCUCAAUUUCAACAGGCUUCGCUGCAUGUUUAACAUCCAUAGCAUCAGGUUGAGAAAUAAGAACAGUCUGCUGUUGUUGAUCAGGAUGAUUUGAAGCAGAAGGUUGCUUCUCAAUUUCAACAGGCUUCGCUGCAUGUUUAACAUUCAUAGCAUCAGGUUGCGAAAUAAGAACAGUUUGCUGUUGUUGAUCAGGAUGAUUUGAAGCAGAAGGUUGCUUCUCAAUUUCAACAGGCGACUCUUCUUGUUCAAUAUUCAUAACAUCCGGUUGCAAGAUAGGAAAAGUUUGCUGCUGUUGGUCAUAAUGGUUUGAAGCAGAAGGUUGCUUCUCAAUUUCAACAGACGACUCUGCUUGUUCAAUAUUCAUAACAUCCGGUUGCGAAAUAGGAAAAGUUUGCUGCUGUUGGUCAUGAUGGUUUGAAGCAGAAGGUUGCUUCUUAAUCUGAAUAGACUCAGCUGCAUGUCCAAUAUUCAUAACAUCUGGUUUCAGUAGUGUUGAUGCAAAUGUUUCAACUUUUUCUUCUUCAGUUGAUGUGGAAUCAGAGUUUUUUUGCUGCUGGUGAUGAUGAUAGAUUGAGAUAACAGGUUCUUCCCCAACUUGAACAGCUUCUUUUAUUUGUUCAAC
Molecule: long non-coding RNA, 889 nt
Filed under: Zostera marina
Lineage: Eukaryota; Viridiplantae; Streptophyta; Magnoliopsida; Alismatales; Zosteraceae
Description: long non-coding RNA (ZMAR_LNC001933)
Source: RNAcentral